This 367-nucleotide ribosomal RNA is filed under the name uncultured Gardnerella sp. Its description in RNAcentral is "bacterial SSU rRNA". It matches the Rfam family "Bacterial small subunit ribosomal RNA", at positions 144 to 525 of the family's 1533-position model. The record is from RNAcentral. Lineage: Bacteria; Bacillati; Actinomycetota; Actinomycetes; Bifidobacteriales; Bifidobacteriaceae.
UAGCUCUUGGAAACGGUGGUAAUGCUGAUGCUCAACUUGACGCAUGUCUUUGUUGGAAAGUGUUUAGUGGCAUGGGAUGGGGUCGCGUCCUAUCAGCUUGUAGGCGGGGUAAUGGCCCACCUAGGCUUCGACGGGUAGCCGGCCUGAGAGGGCGGACGGCCACAUUGGGACUGAGAUACGGCCCAGACUCCUACGGGAGGCAGCAGUGGGGAAUAUUGCGCAAUGGGGGAAACCCUGACGCAGCGACGCCGCGUGCGGGAUGAAGGCCUUCGGGUUGUAAACCGCUUUUGAUUGGGAGCAAGCCUUUUGGGUGAGUGUACCUUUCGAAUAAGCGCCGGCUAACUACGUGCCAGCAGCCGCGGUAAAU